Molecule: ribosomal RNA, 388 nt
Filed under: uncultured bacterium
Lineage: Bacteria
Description: bacterial SSU rRNA
Rfam family: Bacterial small subunit ribosomal RNA
Source: RNAcentral
GACGAACGCUGGCGGCGUGCUUAACACAUGCAAGUCGAGCGGUAAGGCCCUUUCGGGGGUACACGAGCGGCGAACGGGUGAGUAACACGUGGGUGACCUGCCCUCAGCUCUGGGAUAAGCCUGGGAAACUGGGUCUAAUACUGGAUAUGACUCCAUGACGCAUGUUGUGGGGUGGAAAGCCUUGUGCGGCUGAGGAUGGGCCCGCGGCCUAUCAGCUUGUUGGUGGGGUGANGGCCUACCAAGGCGACGACGGGUAGCCGGCCUGAGAGGGCGACCGGCCACACUGGGACUGAGACACGGCCCAGACUCCUACGGGAGGCAGCAGUGGGGAAUCUUGCGCAAUGGGCGAAAGCCUGACGCAGCGACGCCGCGUGAGGGAUGACGGCCU